GCCCGGAUGGUGAAAUUGGUAGACACGCUAGCUUCAGGAGCUAGUUGACGCAAGUCAGUGCAGGUUCGAGUCCUGUUCCGGGCACCA
This 87-nucleotide transfer RNA is filed under the name Ignavibacteria bacterium. Its description in RNAcentral is "tRNA-Leu". It matches the Rfam family "tRNA". Rfam says of the family: Transfer RNA (tRNA) molecules are approximately 80 nucleotides in length. RNAcentral also lists the same sequence under 1 other name. Lineage: Bacteria; Pseudomonadati; Ignavibacteriota; Ignavibacteria. The record is from RNAcentral.